GACGAACCGUGCGAACGUUAUUCGGAAUCACUGGGCUUAAAGCGCGCGUAGGCGGUGUCGCAAGUCAGGGGUGAAAUCCCAUCGGCUCAACCGUGGAAUUGCCUUUGAUACUGCGAUGCUCGAGGGAGGUAGGGGCAGGUGGAACUUCCAGUGGAGCGGUGAAAUGUGUUGAGAUUGGAAGGAACGCCGGUGGCGAAAGCGACCUGCUGGAUCUCUUCUGACGCUGAGGCGCGAAAGCUAGGGUAGCGAACGGG
RNAcentral lists this ribosomal RNA (254 nucleotides) under uncultured bacterium. RNAcentral's name for it is "partial 16S ribosomal RNA". It matches the Rfam family "Bacterial small subunit ribosomal RNA", at positions 524 to 776 of the family's 1533-position model. The record is from RNAcentral.